GACGAACGCUGGCGGCGUGCUUAACACAUGCAAGUCGAACGGCAAGGCACUGCUUUCGUGGUGUGCUCGAGUGGCGAAGGGGUGAGUAAGACGUGUGUAUCGUGCCCUUGAUUUUGGGAUAACUUCAGGAAACUGGGGCUAAUACCGGAUAGGAGACCCUGCUGGAUGGUGGGGGUUGGAACGUUUAGGCGGUUGGGGAUGGAUUCGCGGCUUAUGGGCUUGUUGGUGGGGUAGUGGUUUACCCAGGCAUUGACUGGUAGCCGGCCUGAGAGGGUGACCGGCGACAUGGCGACUGCGGGACGGCGCAGUCGCGUAUGGUAGGCAGCAGGGGGGAAUAUGGCACAACGAGCGGAAGUCUGAUGAGAAGGCCUCGGGGUUGUAAAGACGGUCUGCGGGGUGAAAAACGCAGUCGCCUAAUACGAAGCGGUAGUGACGGUAAUGGGUGAAGAAGCACCGGCUAACUACGUG
This 468-nucleotide ribosomal RNA is filed under the name uncultured bacterium. Its description in RNAcentral is "partial 16S ribosomal RNA". It matches the Rfam family "Bacterial small subunit ribosomal RNA", at positions 28 to 507 of the family's 1533-position model. The record is from RNAcentral.